UCCGCCGGGUGGAGGCGUCGUCCUCGGUGCCCAACCAUGUCCCCUCCACCUAACCUUCUCAUCCGUGGCGGUGCAUCGCGGCUCGAGAAGGAGCAUGCCAGUCAGUCGGUUUUUAUCCAGCGGACGGGACGGUGCGUGGCGGUCUGGUGCGAGUGGCAGCGGGUUCAUACGAUCGGACAGUACGAACCGUCCCUGGCUGCGUUCGUGAAACGGAAAAAAAACAUCUACGGAUCUUAACGGUCUCAGGGACUCGGAGAAGGCGUAUCGUGCGCGCGUGUCGAUCCCUGAACGAUCAAGUGUGUACGAAGUCCUCGUGGCCAGGAAGGAUCGAAGCUACCAGCAGAGGUGCAGCGGUCGGCCAUUGCGCUUUCUUCGUGUCGCCGUUACGACCGCACGGUGCUCUGCUAUCGAAUGUACAUCAGGGAUCGAUGUAAAGAGGAAUACAUUAAACGCUUCACGGAGCGGCAUUCACACGAAAGGAAACUGGAAAUUUACAAAUAGAAAGGUAUUCGUCAAAAGCACCUUGUAUACAGAACAUAAAAUCUCGAUCCGUUUGCUAGAGCGAAGAUUAAAUUCGUGUUUCGAAUACACGGAAUUACAACGGUUUUUCUGUAUUCCAUUGUACUUCGAUACCGGUAAUACCACUGUGAGAUUCAAUGGAGAGAAAGGAAGAAAUCUGUGGGUGAUCAGUCUUUCGACAUUCACGAAUCGACGAUCGAAGACACGAUCUGUAAAGAGGAAUCUAGCGGAUGCGCAGGCAUCUCCCGCGCCGUCGUUAAAGUGAAAGGCGCCUUGCUAUGUGCAUACGAGUGUCGUGUUUGUACGUGAAUCCGCAGAACACACGUGACAUUUUUAUGAUGGCAUGCUAACGUGUCACUAGGACCUGCUGUGGUAACGAUUAUUGGAAGCAAUCGUUAGCGUGUCUUGUGCACGAUCUCCUCUGCUAUUUAAAGAGGACAACACGAAGUAUUGUCAAUUCAAAGAAAGAAGUACACGAAUAACGACGAAUCAUAACGACAUUUGUGAUUACAAUUAUAGUCUUUCUUCUCUUAACGUGAAUGCGUGUUACAAUUGUGUAUCAUCUUCAGUCACGGGAUAAGAAAAAGAGUAAGAUAGAAAGGUUACACAACAUAUAAAACAAGACGAGCGCUGAGCAUUCUGAUUGUUUGGUUCCGUAACGACUUACCGAUUGCCGCAUCUCCAUGAAGCUUCAUUUAAUACGUUUCUUUUUUGUGGAUCAGAGAGAAUUACGGUGCGAACACACGUAAAUGCAACGAUUCACCAUUGAUACGGAAGAAGUUCGCUGGCACAAGUGUUUUUCGAGAAACCUGCUCCUUGACCCUGGGAUUACCGUGGAUCAAGGAAAUCAAGAUAAAGUGUGACAAGUGAAAAGUCCGGUUUCGUGUAACUCGUUUGCGUGCUUGCUAUACAUAUAUCCCGUGGCGCGCGGGAAACGUCGGCUUUUGACCGACAGAGGGGGCCAACGAACUCGAGUUCGACUCGAUAGGUGGUUCCUACGGUGUCAGCGCGAAACGGCGGGACUUACGCCGGACAACCUCGAACCUCAAACUCGAGUUGAGUCGAUCAAGCCGUCCAACAGCUUGUCGGCGUCCUUCCUGUUGUCCUUGGUCCUCGGUGAAGGGGGACUGAUCGGCCCUGGUGGUGUCCUGGGGCCGCAGAUGGGAGCUGGUCUACUGGAGCCCGACAGGGUGAUCAACCCCGUAAAACGACAUCAGCCGUUCCAACUUCCGCUCGAGGCCUACACUCUUCCCCUUCUUGCUCGUCGCUCACCAGGUUUCUCCCCGUUGAUUCGGCCGCAUAAACUCGAUCAAGCUGGAAUUGAUGGAGUUGGAGAACAUUGUAGCAAACACUGUGUAUCUCAAAGCGAGAGAAGGCGGUGGUGACAGCAACAAGGGUAAGAGUAAAAAAUGGCGGAAGAUACUCCAAUUCCCGCACAUUUCCCAAUGCAUAGGCCUAAAAGAUAAAUUGGACAUCAGGUACAGCUAUGUGGUGGAUCAGCAACCGAUUGGUAGGCUGUUGUUCAGGCAAUUCUGCCAGGACAAGAAACCAUCCUACCAUCGGUACAAUCUCUUUUUGGACGCCAUCGAGAAAUACGAGAUCGAGAUGGAUGAGAAUCGGACUGAGCUGGCCAAGGACCUGUUCGAGCAAUACCUGAAGAGAGAGGGCUCAGAGGUCGUCGACAUCCUAAACGAUUCUUUGAUCGCCCAGUGUGAGGAGAGGCUCAGCACUGGCGGCAAGGAGCUCUUUGUGGAGAUCGCGCAGACCGUGAAAAACUUCCUCGCUGGCGAGCCUUUUUCAGCUUUCCAAACCAGCUUUUAUUUCUAUAGGUAUCUUCAAUGGAAAUGGUUAGAGGCUCAACCAGUCACGUACAAGACCUUCCGUAUGUACAGAGUGCUGGGAAAGGGUGGGUUUGGUGAGGUAUGCGCUUGUCAAGUACGAGCAACAGGAAAAAUGUAUGCGUGCAAGAAAUUGGAAAAGAAACGGAUCAAAAAACGAAAGGGAGAAGCCAUGGUACUCAUAGAGAAGAAUAUAUUGCAAAAGAUCAACUCUAAAUUCGUCGUGUCCCUAGCGUAUGCCUAUGAGACCAAGGAUGCAUUGUGUCUAGUUCUGACAAUUAUGAACGGUGGAGACUUGAAGUUUCAUAUUUAUAACAUGGGCGGUGAGCCUGGUUUCGACAUCAAUCGUGCCAGGUUCUAUGCAGCCGAGGUGGUCUGUGGCCUGGAGCAUUUGCAUUUACAAGGAAUAGUUUAUAGAGAUUGUAAACCAGAAAAUAUUCUGCUAGAUGAUCAUGGCCAUGUAAGAAUAUCUGAUCUUGGUCUGGCUGUGGAGAUCACAGAGGGAGACAUGGUGACAGGAAGAGUUGGUACAGUUGGAUAUAUGGCACCAGAAGUGAUUGACAAUGAGAAGUAUACAUUUUCACCUGAUUGGUUCAGUUUUGGAUGUCUUCUGUAUGAGAUGAUAGAGGGUCAAGCUCCGUUUCGUGCAAGGAAGGAAAAGGUGAAGCGGGAAGAAGUGGACAGGAGGGUAAAAGAAGAUCAAGAAAGGUAUUCUGCCAAGUUUACCGAGGAGGCGAAGAGUUUGUGUCAGCAAUUAUUAAAAAAGAGCCCGAAGAACAGACUGGGUUGCAAGUGCGGUAGACAUGGCGCCAAGGAAGUAAAGUUGCAUAACUUCUUUCAGUGUUUAAACUGGAAGAGGGUCGAGGCCGGUAUGUGGGAACCACCGUUUGUGCCGGAUGUGACCUCAUGCGGUGUAUGCUAAAGAUGUAUUGGACAUUGAGCAAUUCUCUACAGUGAAAGGUGUCAAUUUGGACGCCACUGAUGAUACCUUCUAUAGCAAAUUCAAUACUGGUAGCGUGUCUAUCCCAUGGCAAAACGAGAUGAUAGAGACUGAGUGUUUUAAGGAACUGAACGUGUUAGGUCCUAACAACACACCUACUCCUGAUCUAUUGAUCAAUCAUCCACCACCAAAUAACGAAAAUAGAGGCUGCUUUCCAUUUCGAAGACAG
RNAcentral lists this unclassified non-coding RNA (3526 nucleotides) under Apis dorsata (giant honeybee). RNAcentral's name for it is "g protein-coupled receptor kinase 2, transcript variant X3". The record is from RNAcentral. Lineage: Eukaryota; Metazoa; Arthropoda; Insecta; Hymenoptera; Apidae.